RNAcentral lists this ribosomal RNA (253 nucleotides) under uncultured bacterium. RNAcentral describes it as "partial 16S ribosomal RNA". It matches the Rfam family "Bacterial small subunit ribosomal RNA", at positions 524 to 776 of the family's 1533-position model. The record is from RNAcentral.
UACGGAGGGAGCUAGCGUUGUUCGGAAUUACUGGGCGUAAAGCGCGCGUAGGCGGCUUUGUAAGUUAGAGGUGAAAGCCCGGGGCUCAACCCCGGAACUGCCUUUAAAACUGCAUCGCUUGAAUCCGGGAGAGGUGAGUGGAAUUCCGAGUGUAGAGGUGAAAUUCGUAGAUAUUCGGAAGAACACCAGUGGCGAAGGCGGCUCACUGGACCGGCAUUGACGCUGAGGUGCGAAAGCUUGGGGAGCAAACAGG